CCCACGUAUAGAGCUUUUAACCGUGUCCAACUUUGACUGUCUGUCUUAUAUGAAAUUUUUUUAUAAUUCGUAUUUUCAUUGUUGUUAGAUGAUAAAACAUGAUUAAUAUUUUAUGCGUGACUUGUCUUUUUAAUUUUUUUCGUAAUUUUUUCAAAUAAGACGGACGGUCAAAUAUUGGGCACGGAAACCAGGGUUUGUCUUUUU
Molecule: non-coding RNA, 204 nt
Organism: Oryza glaberrima (African rice)
Lineage: Eukaryota; Viridiplantae; Streptophyta; Magnoliopsida; Poales; Poaceae
Source: Rfam